GAUGAAGAACGUAGUGAAACGCGAUAGUUAAUGUGAAUUGCAGAAUUCAGUGAAUCAUCGAAUCUUUGAACGCACCUUGCGCUCUUUGGUAUUCCGAAGAGCAUGCCUGUUUGAGUGUCAUGAAAAUAUCAACCUUGACUUGGGUUUUGUGCUCUAGUCUCGGCUUGGAAUUGGGUGCUUGCCGCUUUUACGAGCGGCUCACCUUAAAUGUAUUAGCUGGAUCUGUCUUUGAGACUUGGUUUGACUUGGCGUAAUAAGUAUUUCGCUAAGGACAUUCUUCGGAGUGGCCUCGUUUCUAGGACGCUUGUCCGCUUUCCAAUACAAGUUCCACCUCGUGGACAUGACUUUUUAUUAUCUGGCCUCAAAUCAGGUAGGACUACCCGCUGAACUUAAGCAUAUCAAUAAGCGGAGGA
RNAcentral lists this unclassified non-coding RNA (413 nucleotides) under soil metagenome. RNAcentral describes it as "partial contains 5.8S ribosomal RNA, internal transcribed spacer 2, and large subunit ribosomal RNA". The stretch from base 1 to 120 matches the Rfam family "5.8S ribosomal RNA", at positions 35 to 154 of the family's 154-position model. The record is from RNAcentral.